UGGGGAAUCUUGGACAAUGGGGGCAACCCUGAUCCAGCGAUGCCGCGUGAGCGAAGAAGGCCUUAGGGUUGUAAAGCUCUUUCGCCCGCGACGAUGAUGACGGUAGCGGGCGAAGAAGCCCCGGCUAACUCCGUGCCAGCAGCCGCGGUAAUACGGAGGGGGCUAGCGUUGUCCGGAAUUACUGGGCGUAAAGCGCGCGUAAGCGGUCCACCAAGUCGGGGGUGAAAGCCCGGGGCUCAACCCCGGAAUGUCCUCCGAGACUGGUGGACUGGAGUUCGGGAGAGGAGAGCGGAAUUCCCAGUGUAGAGGUGAAAUUCGUAGAUAUUGGGAAGAACACCGGUGGCGAAGGCGGCUCUCUGGCCCGCAACUGACGCUGAGGCGCGAAAGCGUGGGGAGCAA
RNAcentral lists this ribosomal RNA (399 nucleotides) under uncultured bacterium. RNAcentral's name for it is "bacterial SSU rRNA". It matches the Rfam family "Bacterial small subunit ribosomal RNA", at positions 355 to 771 of the family's 1533-position model. The record is from RNAcentral.